Long non-coding RNA from Capsicum annuum, 543 nucleotides. RefSeq lists it as uncharacterized. NCBI's taxonomy places the organism in Eukaryota, Viridiplantae, Streptophyta, Magnoliopsida, Solanales, Solanaceae. The transcript is spliced from 3 exons. The record is from RefSeq and is a predicted model, not a curated record.
ACAAACUGCUUUUCACGAAAAGUACUUUGGCUACCGCCUCACACACAAUGUAGUGGUGGAUCCGGAACUUUAGUAAUUGAGUUGUACAACGUCUAUGCAGUUUGUAUGAAUAUAGAAUAAGGUGCAAGGGAUGCAGUAAUACUCCGUAUUUGUUUAAUCAAUUCAGUUAUCGAUAAUAAUUUGAAAUAUUGACUUACCGUUUAUGAGCUUGAGGCCGCAGAAAGAGGCAUUUCCAUUUUGUUCUAUCUUAGAAAUGCUUAAAAGUAUGCUGCUUCUUGUACGAAAUGUAUCGUGGCUAUAUCCUUUUGUCAUUGUAGAUUGGAGGCUCUCGCGUAGAGGGUCGUGAAAGCUUUAGAUAUACUCUAGAUCAGAUGCUGAAAUUGAGGGAGGUGGCUAACAUUUCCGACAAUGUUCUUAAAAUCAAAGAAGUUGCACCUCUACUAUUUCAUGAUGAUGCCAACGUGCCAGCGCAGUCUCAGGCUCGUUAUCUCCCGCUGCAGUUUCCUACAACACAACAACAAUAUACCCGGUGGGGUCUGGACC